This 760-nucleotide ribosomal RNA is filed under the name uncultured bacterium. Its description in RNAcentral is "bacterial SSU rRNA". It matches the Rfam family "Bacterial small subunit ribosomal RNA", at positions 28 to 777 of the family's 1533-position model. The record is from RNAcentral.
GAUGAACGCUAGCUACAGGCUUAACACAUGCAAGUCGAGGGGCAGCAUGGUCUUAACUUGCUAAGGCCGAUGGCGACCGGCGCACGGGUGAGUAACGCGUAUCCAACCUGCCUUACACUCUUGGACAGCCUUCUGAAAGGGAGAUUAAUACAAGAUGUUAUCAUGAGUAAGCAUUUUCGCAUGAUUAAAGGUUUACCGGUGUAAGAUGGGGAUGCGUUCCAUUAGAUAGUAGGCGGGGUAACGGCCCACCUAGUCUUCGAUGGAUAGGGGUUCUGAGAGGAAGGUCCCCCACAUUGGAACUGAGACACGGUCCAAACUCCUACGGGAGGCAGCAGUGAGGAAUAUUGGUCAAUGGACGAGAGUCUGAACCAGCCAAGUAGCGUGAAGGAUGAAGGUUCUAUGGAUUGUAAACUUCUUUUAUACGGGAAUAAACGGAUCCACGUGUGGAUUUUUGCAUGUACCGUAUGAAUAAGGAUCGGCUAACUCCGUGCCAGCAGCCGCGGUAAUACGGAGGAUCCGAGCGUUAUCCGGAUUUAUUGGGUUUAAAGGGAGCGUAGAUGGGUUGUUAAGUCAGUUGUGAAAGUUUGCGGCUCAACCGUAAAAUUGCAAUUGAUACUGGCAGUCUUGAGUACAGUUGAGGUAGGCGGAAUUCGUGGUGUAGCGGUGAAAUGCUUAGAUAUCACGAAGAACUCCGAUUGCGAAGGCAGCUUACUAACCUGUAACUGACAUUGAUGCUCGAAAGUGUGGGUAUCAAACCAGG